ACGGCCAUCGUGCCCGUGAUAAGGUCCCGAGGUGCGUGUUUCCGUCUAUCACACCGACUCCGAUGGCUCGAUGUGCUCUGUCUGGAUGCUCGGUGCCGACUGCCGGCCACAGAGAGCUCGGGCGGGCGGCUCUCCCACGCGCCAACCAAUCAGGACGCCGUAUUCACCGCCGAAGCUUCCCUCGUAGUCGCGGUACCUCACCCCCCGCGAGGCCGAGGCCGGCCAGUCAUGGCAGGCAAGGCGGUGAUACGACUGUUCCCGAGCCACAACGAGCGAACCCGAACUCUUAGCCUUGUCUUCGUCAGCGAUACGUUUUCUUCGUCGUAGAAAGUACACCGCCAGUGCUACCGCCACCGCCAUCGCCACCGCCACCGUCACCGUCGCCGCCACCGUCGUCGCCGUCGCCACUGUCAACGCUAUCGCCACCACCGUCGCCACUGUCAACGCUAUUGCCACCACCGUUGCCGCCGCUGUCACUGUCGCCGCCGCCACCGCCACCGUCGACGCUGUUGCCAAUAUGAACGCUAUCGGUGCUACCACCAUCGCUAUCAACAUAAUCUCCGCUACACCACCACUCUAAACCCCGCCAAAAAUCCGACGCUACAACAAAAAUGGCCAACACCAUUACCAGGCGCCACUAAUUGCAGACUAGGAGCUAAACGACCCAGUGUCUGAAGAGAAUUUUUCUUACUGGUUAAAAAAGAAAGAAAUUAUAUAAGUUGUUGUAUCUUGUGUUAAAAGAUACAUAAUAAAAUGCCGAAAACUCCAGAUUAUCAUCUUAUUUACUUUUGUUGUAAAAAAAUCGAAA
Megalopta genalis is the source of this 808-nucleotide non-coding RNA. The record is from RefSeq and is a predicted model, not a curated record. Lineage: Eukaryota; Metazoa; Arthropoda; Insecta; Hymenoptera; Halictidae.